Long non-coding RNA from Amblyraja radiata (thorny skate), 774 nucleotides. RefSeq lists it as uncharacterized. NCBI's taxonomy places the organism in Eukaryota, Metazoa, Chordata, Chondrichthyes, Rajiformes, Rajidae. The transcript is spliced from 2 exons. The record is from RefSeq and is a predicted model, not a curated record.
CCUGUGUCGGUUUUCUCCGGGAUCUCCGUUUUCCUCCCACACUCCAAAGACGUACAGGUUUGUAGGUGAAUUGGCUUGGACAUUGAAAAUGAAUGAAUGAAUGAUAGUUUAUUUUGACUGUGGCUAAAACUGAGCCCUCAAAUGUGUUUCUAGAAAUUGUAUCAGGAUGAGAUGAAAAAUACUCAGUUUUAGAUCCUGUGAUCUUCCCCCUCUCAAGCCUUCAGGUCGAGUUUGCUGCUUAUUUUCACCUCAGACAGUCUUGAUGCUUAUUUACUUUGAGCACGAGUGAUUGGGAGAAAAGCUCUAUGCUGCCGUUUGCCUUUUCUAGCUGAGGCCGUUGAUGUCCAUUUGUGUCCGCUCUACAGAUGACUUGGUUGGGAGUAGUUAGCUCAGCCCACUUCACAAAGUGGCUCUGAUACUUUCUGCUUGCUGCAGUUAAGCAUACACAGAGCUAUGUCUGCGGUAUUUCGUAGACGGCAUCAGGGUUUGAUCCCAGCAGAGGGAGAAUCGUUUGUAUCUUUGUACCGCCCGUUGUGGAACUAAACCUGAAUCUGGUUCAAGGGGAUUGGGACUUUAGUGGUCAUCUCGUGGUUCUUGGCACUGGAGUAUUGACUUUUUAACAGGGUUUUAAUUUCAAAGAAAAGUGGAAAUUAUUUUACUGUAAGUAACUAUCAGAAAUGUGUUGCUUGCUGUGUGUGAUGUGCGGACUAUUAGUGACUGGUAAAAAAACACUUCCAAAACUAGUGAAUAAAAGUUGAAACGUUAUCAAUCAAA